Taeniopygia guttata (zebra finch) is the source of this 3071-nucleotide non-coding RNA. NCBI's taxonomy places the organism in Eukaryota, Metazoa, Chordata, Aves, Passeriformes, Estrildidae. The record is from RefSeq and is a predicted model, not a curated record.
AGAAAUCAGUAGGUAUAAAUGGAGAAAAAGGCUGUGUCAGCCUUCAUGGAAAUAACACAUUUUCUUCCUAAUCUCCUGAUGCAUAGAACAAGUAGUUACUGCCUGGGAAAUAAAUAGAAGCUGGAAAACAAGAGAGCCUGCUGGCUAUCAUCUGCACAAUAAGAACAAAGUGGUUCUACCAGGAGCUGCUGCAGAUUAAUGAGUAAUUGGCCCAGGUGCAAAUCUCCCUUCACCAUCACCUGUGUGAUUAAAGAAGCCUUCCCCACCCCUUCCUUCACUCAUGGGCUUUUUGUCUUGUGAUUUCAGACUCCUAGAUCUAGUCAAAAUACAUCCGUUCAAGGAAAAUAAAAGAAAGAGAAUGAGCAGAGAAAUACCUGUUCUUUAAAAAUCAGCUUCAAGCUGAAAGACUGCACAGCCACUUGAUUAUGAUACUCCAGAGCUGCCCUGUAAUCCUGGAAUCCUACUGAAUUCACACCCUGGCAAGAUAGCAAUGUCAAAGGGAUGCAACUGGUAAUUCUGCCUGGCUGCCAAACUGCCUCAUGUCACCCUGCUUUCAAUGGCUGCUGACAAGACCAGCCUGUGAUUUGUGAGUUUGGAUGAUUUUCCCUCUUUCCUUGCUCAAAGGAAACCUGUUUGUGUUUGGACAUCUGGGGAAGAUGACACAACGCCAGCAAGAUCUCCUGUUGGGCAGUGCUGCUACCAGGGAGAAAGUGUGGGAUGGGGGUGGCAGAGAGGAUCAGCAGGAUGCAGCUCUUAGGGACAGUUUGGCAUCUUACUACCCCUGGACACCACCUCAGUGGGGUCAGGAGAUCCCUGUGGAUGGGCAGGUGCAUGCCACAGCAAUUGCAUCCAUCCCAUCCCUGAAGCCAGGUUCCUGUGACUGUAGCCUCACAUUUAAUUUCCAAAGAACUAUAGAGGACUUUUUAGUGUAAAUUCUGUCUUGCUGAUGGGUUUGUUGAGUCAGUGCCCCACUCAGCCUCAACCUGAAACACAGCUUGGGACUAUGAGCCUUCAGCUUGAGUUUGUUCUGUCACUGGAGUCAUCGUUUACUUCAGCCUAAUUUUUCUAAAUUCAUAUCCAUCCUCUCAACACAGACAGACCUCAGAGAGAUUUUCAUGCAUUUACAUGAAAAAGCCAAAGUUCCCUUUCCUUGUUCACAUUAUGCAGCAUUGCCCUUCUCUGUACCUUGUCCUAUUUCAGAGCUGUCAUGCAAAUAAAACCAACUUAAAAAAAAAAAAUCGUUAAAAAGUGUGCAUCCUGUCAACCUUGUUUCUCCUUCUCGUGCUGUAUGUGCAGGAAGAAAUCCCUUCUCCUUCCUGCCUUCCUAUUUCAGAUGUUUACACUUCUUUCCUAACUGUGAUACAGUAUGUUUAGGGUUCCCCAGUUGCCCAGGAAACCAAUCCUGACUCCCUUUUUCCAGACAUGUAGUAUUCACUAUUCCAUGAAGCUACUGUUUCCUGAAGUGUUUUAUUUUGGGUUUUUUCCCUCAACUACUCCAGAAGUGGGAAUUCUCCUUUUCAGUCCCUGUACUGGGGCAUCCCCUUUCCUUUAUCUACCUGAGUCUGUCUGGAUGAAGCAGUCAUUGCAUUUUCUACCUCCAUCACUGCAGUUUCUGACUGAAUUUAGCAGUAUUUAUUUUGACUAUGUGAGUGUACUGAACAGUCAUCCUUCUGCAAGGCAUUCUGCAUGGAUUCCCAUGGGAUUGCCACGCUGGCCACGGAACAGAGAUCUUCUUUGGCAGACACUAAAGAUGGAGAAGGCAGACCUGGCUCUGGGGUUGGUGGUGGGUAGUCACUGGAGGCAGGGGGUGUCAGGAGGAAGGAUCAUUUGUCUUUCCUCUUGGCUCAAGUGCAUGGCACUUGUUAUUGCUCUCCUGGGCAACAACCAUAAAGCCAACUCAGACACUCUCCCAGAAGGAGAAAACCACCCGAAAAUUGAACCAAAACAAUCAACCCUAAAAAUUAUCCCAAGAUAUAUGAUGGGGGAGAGAUUUGAAGAGUAAAAGGUGGGGUGUCCCUGAGGAACAAGGAGUUUGUUCUUGCUGCAGCUGAAACUCUUUGCCAGGGAAUGUGGAUGUUGGUGUGGCUGUGGUGGGGAGUUUGCACAAAUCACAAGGGGAGUGAGCAAGAGACACUGGAGCAGGUAUGGAAGAAUAACUCAAGGAUUUUGCCUGUAAUCCUCUCAUGUCUGAUAUACAGAGACCCCUGAUGACCAAGAGACUGUCUUUUCCAAAAUGAAAUACGCCCUGGAGUAAGAUCUCCAGUUUGUGGUGAAAAUAAUUAUUAUUUCACAGGCCCAUGGAAAAGCACCUGCCUGGGUAGCAGGAGACUUGCAAAUCACAGAUACAAAAAUGGAUGUGACAGCUUCUGUGCAGAAUAUCCACUGGUGAAGUUAAGCUGCCCCAUCUUCCCUUUUUCCUUGUAUAACUUUGUAUUAUCUUGAUUUUUAGUGACACAUGGAAGGUAAAAUGGUCUAAAUCUUAAUGAUUCAUGGGAUGGGGACUGUUUGUCAGUUUCAAUAAAUCUGUUAGCCUCUUUGACAGUGAGGAGGAAAGAGCUGUUUUGAAUUCAUGGUAUGUUUUUAAAUUUCCUUUCAAAGACUACUGUUUUUUUCUCUCCUCUCAUGUUUCUCAGAAGAAACCAGCCUGCCAAACUGCUCCAGGAAGCUCUUCUGAGAUAGAGACAACCAUCUCUGUGUACGGUCUGUACUUGUGAAGCAGAGCACAAUGCCCUUUUUCCAUUUAAUCCAUAUUAAUUAUCCCUCUGCAGCUCCUUGCUAGUUUCCACUCAUCCCAGGCACCAGAAACUUGUGUGGCUGCAUCUCGAACAAACCAGAGCCUUUCACUAACCACCUGAGAUCACUUAGCUGCAGAUAACCGGGCAGAUGCCUGAGAAAAGGAGCAAUUACAGAUCCUUUUCAUUCAGUCCUGGCUGAGCAAAUGAGCAAAUGAAAGGGGCAUCUUGCAGAAAUGCAGUCAGCAGAAAGCAAUGUAAUGAACCAGCUUGUUUUGCAAACCAUGAAGUGCUAUCAUCCCUAGGAAUAAUUCUGAAUAAACUCUCUGAUACCCUCAA